RNAcentral lists this ribosomal RNA (675 nucleotides) under Triticum aestivum (bread wheat). RNAcentral's name for it is "partial small subunit ribosomal RNA". The record is from RNAcentral. Lineage: Eukaryota; Viridiplantae; Streptophyta; Magnoliopsida; Poales; Poaceae.
AUGACCACUGCUAUCUUUGGGACACGCAUUGGUCACUUGGGGUCAGAUGUGCGAAAGAAAUUGAAAGCCGCCUAUACAUUGGUUGAACAAUUGUAUACUGGUGCCCAGCGGAUCAUCUGUACCAUGUCUCAUAACAAACCGGCGCCCACUUUGAUUCAAGAUACUCUGAUGAAACUUUCAGUGCUUCCUGCCCGGGUUGAAGAGCUGAAGAAAUCUGCUGCUCGAACCGGUGCAAUCAAUGCCUUAAUCCGAGCAAAAGCCCGGGUUCCGGAUUUUGAUCCCAUUGAAGCGGCUCAGGGCUAUCCCAGCUUGAAGGAUGACGGGUCAGAAUUUGGUGAAGCGGAUCUGCGAGCAAUAAACCGGGAGGUACGUCCACUAGCUUGUCAGUUGGCUGAGGAAGCAGACUUGUCUCAUUAUCAAGCGCAAUAUGACAGUCAGAACAAGCGAAUAGCUGCACCAAUCCAUGAAUCGGAAAAUCUGAUCCCUCCAAUCCGUAAGCAUACUUACGCUCCCGAUAUUGACCCGUCAUUGCUGAUCCAUGAUGAAGCUGUUUUUCAAGCAUUAAUGGGAAUCGACUGGACAACUGUGGAUUUCCAGCCACUGGGUAGAGAAACGGAGGCUGAAGCGGCGCAGGAUGACCCACAACCAUCAGGCCAGGCUGGUGACCAAGCUUGA